Molecule: ribosomal RNA, 661 nt
Filed under: uncultured archaeon
Lineage: Archaea
Description: bacterial SSU rRNA
Rfam family: Archaeal small subunit ribosomal RNA
Source: RNAcentral
CAUACGGCUCAGUAACACGUAGUCAACCUGCCCUGGAGACGCGGACAAACCCGGGAAACUGGGGCCUAUCCGCGAUAGAUGACAUCACCUGGAAGGAGAAGUCGUCCAAAAGGGCGCACGGGUAUGCUCUGUGCGAACCGCUCCAGGAUGGGACUGCGGCCGAUCAGGCUGUUGGCGGGGUAAUGGCCCACCAAACCUGUAACCGGUACGGGCUUUGAGAGAAGGAGCCCGGAGAUGGACACUGAGACAAGGGUCCAGGCCCUACGGGGCGCAUCAGGCGCGAAAACUUCGCAAUGCGCGAAAGCGUGACGAGGCUAGUCCGAGUGCUUCCUGCUAAAGGGAGCUUUUCUCGGCUGUAAAUAGGCCGGGGAAUAAGGGGAGGGCAAGUCUGGUGUCAGCCGCCGCGGUAAUACCAGCUCCUCGAGUGGUCGGGACGAUUAUUGGGCCUAAAGCACCCGUAGCCGGUUCCGUAAGUCCUCUGUUAAAUCCAGUCGCUCAACGGCUGGCCUGCAGAGGAUACUGCAGGACUAGGAGGCGGGAGAGGCGGACGGUACUCCGCGUGUAGGGGUAAAAUCCUUUGAUCCGCGGAAGACCACCAGUGGCGAAGGCGGUCCGCCAGAACGCGCUCGACGGUGAGGGGUGAAAGCUGGGGGAGCGAACC